CAGCCAGACUCCUACGGGAGGCAGCAGUGGGGAAUAUUGCACAAUGGGGGAAACCCUGAUGCAGCGACGCCGCGUGAGCGAUGAAGUAUUUCGGUAUGUAAAGCUCUAUCAGCAGGGAAGAAAAUGACGGUACCUGACUAAGAAGCCCCGGCUAACUACGUGCCAGCAGCCGCGGUAAUACGUAGGGGGCAAGCGUUAUCCGGAUUUACUGGGUGUAAAGGGAGCGUAGACGGCCAUUCAAGCCAGAUGUGAAAGCCCGGGGCUCAACUCCGGGACUGCAUUUGGAACUGUGGGGCUAGAGUGUCGGAGAGGCAGGCGGAAUUCCUAGUGUAGCGGUGAAAUGCGUAGAUAUUAGGAGGAACACCAGUGGCGAAGGCGGCCUGCUGGACGAUGACUGACGUUGAGGCUCGAAAGCGUGGGGAGCAAACAGGAUUAGAUACCCCGGUAGAC
This 450-nucleotide ribosomal RNA is filed under the name uncultured bacterium. Its description in RNAcentral is "bacterial SSU rRNA". It matches the Rfam family "Bacterial small subunit ribosomal RNA", at positions 328 to 795 of the family's 1533-position model. The record is from RNAcentral.